CUGCUCCACUAUGCUGUGGAAUUACGG
RNAcentral lists this non-coding RNA (27 nucleotides) under Mus musculus (house mouse). The record is from RNAcentral. Lineage: Eukaryota; Metazoa; Chordata; Mammalia; Rodentia; Muridae.